AGCAGCCGCGGUAAUUCCAGCUCCAAUAGCGUAUAUUAAAGUUGUUGCAGUUAAAAAGCUCGUAGUUGAAUUUCGGAAUCAGUACGUUGGUCGUGCCUUUGGUAUGUACUGGUGUCACUGAUUUCUCCCUUCUGACGAACCGUGAUGUCAUUAAUUUGGUGUCAUGGGGAAUCAGGACUGUUACUUUGAAAAAAUUAGAGUGUUUAAAGCAGGCUCACGCUUGAAUACAUUAGCAUGGAAUAAUGAAAUAGGACGUUUGACCCUAUUUUGUUGGUUUCUAGGAUCAACGUAAUGAUUAAUAGGGAUAGUUGGGGGCAUUAGUAUUCAAUUGUCAGAGGUGAAAUUCUUGGAUUUAUUGAAGACUAACUACUGCGAAAGCAUUUGCCAAGGAUGUUUUCAUUAAUCAAGAACGAAAGUUAGGGGGAUCGAAGACGAUCAGAUACCGUCGUAGUCUUAACCCAUAAACUACUGCCGACUAGGGAUCGGAUGAUGUUAAUUUUUUAAUGACUCAUUCGGCGUA
RNAcentral lists this ribosomal RNA (520 nucleotides) under uncultured Glomus. Its description in RNAcentral is "SSU rRNA". It matches the Rfam family "Eukaryotic small subunit ribosomal RNA", at positions 569 to 1087 of the family's 1831-position model. Lineage: Eukaryota; Fungi; Glomeromycota; Glomeromycetes; Glomerales; Glomeraceae. The record is from RNAcentral.